Molecule: ribosomal RNA, 255 nt
Filed under: uncultured bacterium
Lineage: Bacteria
Description: partial 16S ribosomal RNA
Rfam family: Bacterial small subunit ribosomal RNA
Source: RNAcentral
UACGUAGGGCGCAAGCGUUAUCUGGAAUUAUUGGGCGUAAAGAGCUCGUAGGCGGUUUGUCGCGUCUGCCGUGAAAAGUCCGGGGCUCAACUCCGGAUCUGCGGUGGGUACGGGCAGACUAGAGUGAUGUAGGGGAGACUGGAAUUCCUGAUGUAGCGGUGAAAUGCGCAGAUAUCAGGAGGAACACCGAUGGCGAAGGCAGGUCUCUGGGCAUUAACUGACGCUGAGGAGCGAAAGCAUGGGGAGCGAACAGGA